GGGCGUAAGAGCUUGUAGGCGGCUUGUCGCGUCUGCUGUGAAAGCCCGGGGCUUAACCCCGGGUCUGCAGUGGGUACGGGCAGGCUAGAGUGUGGUAGGGGAGACUGGAAUUCCUGGUGUAGCGGUGGAAUGCGCAGAUAUCAGGAGGAACACCGAUGGCGAAGGCAGGUCUCUGGGCCAUUACUGACGCUGAGAAGCGAAAGCGUGGGGAGCGAACAGGAUUAGAUACCCUGGUAGUCCACGCCGUAAACGUUGGGCGCUAGGUGUGGGUCCCAUUCCACGGGGUCCGUGCCGCAGCUAACGCAUUAAGCGCCCCGCCUGGGGAGUACGGCCGCAAGGCUAAAACUCAAAGGAAUUGACGGGGGCCCGCACAAGCGGCGGAGCAUGCGGAUUAAUUCGAUGCAACGCGAAGAACCUUACCAAGGCUUGACAUGUACCGGAAACCCUCGGAGACGGGGGCCCCGCAAGGCUGGUACACAGGUGGUGCAUGGUUGUCGUCAGCUCGUGUCGUGAGAUGUUGGGUUAAGUCCCGCAACGAGCGCAACCCUCGUUCUAUGUUGCCAGCGGUUCGGCCGGGGACUCAUAGGAGACUGCCGGGGUCAACUCGGAGGAAGGU
RNAcentral lists this ribosomal RNA (616 nucleotides) under uncultured Actinomycetes bacterium. RNAcentral describes it as "bacterial SSU rRNA". It matches the Rfam family "Bacterial small subunit ribosomal RNA", at positions 556 to 1174 of the family's 1533-position model. The record is from RNAcentral. Lineage: Bacteria; Bacillati; Actinomycetota; Actinomycetes.